AAACAUCCUGCCAGUAGUUAUAUGCUUGUCUCAAAGAUUAAGCCAUGCAUGUCUAAGUACACACGAAUUAAAAGUGAAACCGCAAAAGUCUUAUUAUAUCAGUUAUGGUUCCUUAGAUCGUUAACAGUUACUUGGAUAACUGUGGUAAUUCUAGAGCUAAUACAUGCAAUUAAAACAUGAACCUUAUGGGACAUGUGCUUUUAUUAGGCUAAAACCAAGCGAUCGUAAGAUCGUUAUAUUGGUUGAACUCUAGAUAACAUGCAGAUCGUAUGGUCUUGUACCGACGACAGAUCUUUCAAAUGUCUGCCCUAUCAACUUUUGAUGGUAGUAUCUAGGACUUCCAUGGUUGCAACGGGUAUCGGGGAAUCAGGGUUCGAUUCCGGAGAGGGAGCCUGAGAAACGGCUACCACGUCUAAGGAAGGCAGCAGGCGCGUAAAUUACCCACUCCCAGCUCGGGGAGGUAGUGACGAAAAAUAACAAUACAGGUCUCAUAUCCGAGGCCCUGUAAUUGGAAUGAAUACACUUUAAAUCCUUUAACAAGGACCAAUUGGAAGGCAAGUCUGGUGCCAGCAGCCGCGGUAAUUCCAGCUCCAAUAGCGUAUAUUAAAGUUGUUGCGGUUAAAACGUUCGUAGUUGAACUUGUGCUUAAUACGGGUAGUACAACUUACAAUCGUGGUUAGUACUAUACCUUUAUGUAUAUAAGCGUAUUACCGGUGGAGUUCUUAUAUGUGAUUAAAUACUUGUAAUUUUUCAUAUGUUCCUGCUAUUUAAAAACCUGCACUAGUGCUCUUAAACGAGUGUUAUUGUGGGCCGGUACUAUUACUUUGAACAAAUUAGAGUGCUUAAAGCAGGCUUCAAAUGCCUGGAUAUUUCUGUGCAUGGGAUAAUGAAAAUAAGGACCUCUGUUUCUGCUUUUCAUUUGGUUUUCAGGGUCA
RNAcentral lists this non-coding RNA (935 nucleotides) under Drosophila sechellia. RNAcentral describes it as "Eukaryotic small subunit ribosomal RNA". It matches the Rfam family "Eukaryotic small subunit ribosomal RNA", at positions 1 to 865 of the family's 1831-position model. The record is from Rfam by way of RNAcentral. Lineage: Eukaryota; Metazoa; Arthropoda; Insecta; Diptera; Drosophilidae.